Molecule: long non-coding RNA, 223 nt
Filed under: Sorghum bicolor (sorghum)
Lineage: Eukaryota; Viridiplantae; Streptophyta; Magnoliopsida; Poales; Poaceae
Description: long non-coding RNA (SBIC_LNC001421)
Source: RNAcentral
GGGUAAAACAUUUUAAAGCAUUCUUUAUAUAAUUGCAGGGUGUUAAAAAUUCACUGUGUACCAUAGUCAGGGAAGUAUAUGGUUAAGAGUAAAGAUCCUUUCUUCUCAAUCCUGUCACUUGGAGUUUUUGUAUAUUUUUGAAAGAAAGUUAGCAUACCUUUUUAUCCUCAUAGGUUCUCUCAAAUCACUCAUUAUCUUUUAUAUAUAUCUCACUGAGGCUGUU